UGUGUUGGUGACUGUCUCACUUUGAAAGCCAGUAGUCUGUUGGCUGGUGAGCUGUAAACCAGAUCUCCUGAGAUGGUUUCCGAAAGAGUCAACGAAAUGGGAGUGCACCCUGGAAUAAAUGUACACAAGGAAAAAAAGAAAAGAAGUAUUCCUUCAUCGGGCACUCACAGAUUCAUCCACAAUUAUAGUAACUAUAAGUCAUAUCGAGUAAAAGUGACCACCAGUAAUAAAUUUGAACUUUUAAUAGUGUUAUUAUUAAAACUAUCGAAAUAUGACAACAGUUACUGUUAAAAAAAUAAAAAGUGAAUGUGCAAAAAAUGAAAAGAAUAUUACGCUGUCAGUUGUAACAUAAGAAUUAGCUGUUAUUAGAAUUAUUUAUUAUUAUAUCUGUCUGUAUAAACAGCCUCUGAUAAACUGGAAUAAAUAUCUUGUUAUUUAUAAAUAAA
This is a long non-coding RNA of Pseudophryne corroboree (corroboree frog), 446 nucleotides long. RefSeq lists it as uncharacterized. The transcript has 3 exons. The record is from RefSeq and is a predicted model, not a curated record. NCBI's taxonomy places the organism in Eukaryota, Metazoa, Chordata, Amphibia, Anura, Myobatrachidae.